AACUUUACGGAAACGGCGCCGACUCGUUUCUGUCAGUGCUACCGAAAUUGCAAUCAGCGGACCGUCGAGCGAGCGUGCGUAGCAACAAUCGGCUCCGGGUUGCAGGUAUGGUACUCGAGGAUAUUAAGUUAAUGACUUUGGUGAAGUGCUACGAAGCAGAUCAUUUUGACACUUGUAUUCAAGUAUGACGGGUUGCAGCGCACCAAACUGCGCAAAUCGCACGGAAGGUGGCAAAGCUAUUUACGCGGUGCCGUGCGGACGGACGAGACCGGCCGGCUCCGAAAGGGACCGGGAUAUGCGAGGUCCGUUCGCCUUGUUUACAGAGUGGCUUUGAAUUCUUCCCCCCGAGGCUCCAAGAACCAGCACUCAUCUCCUGCUACUACCAGCCAUUGCUCAUCCAUUCCCUUGUACGAAAUAAAUUUGAUCUAGAAGCU
This is a long non-coding RNA of Dermacentor andersoni, 434 nucleotides long. RefSeq lists it as uncharacterized. The record is from RefSeq and is a predicted model, not a curated record. NCBI's taxonomy places the organism in Eukaryota, Metazoa, Arthropoda, Arachnida, Ixodida, Ixodidae.